This 520-nucleotide ribosomal RNA is filed under the name Guptibacillus hwajinpoensis. RNAcentral's name for it is "bacterial SSU rRNA". It matches the Rfam family "Bacterial small subunit ribosomal RNA", at positions 124 to 627 of the family's 1533-position model. The record is from RNAcentral. Lineage: Bacteria; Bacillati; Bacillota; Bacilli; Caryophanales; Guptibacillaceae.
ACCUGCCCUGCAGACUGGGAUAACUCCGGGAAACCGGAGCUAAUACCGGGUAAUACAUCGCACCGCAUGGUGCAAUGUUGAAAGUUGGCUUUCGAGCUAACACUGCAGGAUGGGCCCGCGGCGCAUUAGCUAGUUGGUAAGGUAAUGGCUUACCAAGGCGACGAUGCGUAACCGACCUGAGAGGGUGAUCGGCCACACUGGGACUGAAACACGGCCCAGACUCCUACGGGAGGCAGCAGUAGGGAAUCUUCCGCAAUGGACGAAAGUCUGACGGAACAACGCCGCGUGAGUGACGAAGGCCUUCGGGUCGUAAAGCUCUGUUGUUAGGGAAGAACAAGUACCGUUCGAAUAGGGCGGUACCUUGACGGUACCUAACCAGAAAGCCACUGCUAACUACGUGCCAGCAGCCGCGGUAAUACGUAUGUGGCAAGCGUUGUCCGGAAUUAUUGGGCGUAAAGCGCGCGCAGGCGGUCUUUUAAGUCUGAUGUGAAAGCCCACGGCUCAACCGUGGAGGGUCAUU